UGUAUAAUCCGAAGACGUGAUGUGGAGCGAAAUAAAGUAGCAAAGCGUGUGAGCCAUGUGCCGAGAAAAGCUGCUAUUGUGUAAUGCGUGCCCGUACCGUAAACCGACACAGGUGGAUGAGGAGAGAAUCCUAAGGCCGACGGAAGAAGCAUUGUUAAGGAAUUCGGCAAAAUGACCCCGUAACUUCGGGAGAAGGGGUGCCUGCGAGAGCAGGCCGCAGAGAAUAGGCUCAAGCAACUGUUUAGCAAAAACACAGGUCUAUGCGAAACCGAAAGGUGAAGUAUAUGGGCUGACGCCUGCCCGGUGCUGGAAGGUUAAGAGGAGAGGUUAGCGUAAGCGAAGCUUUGAAUUUAAGCCCCAGUAAACGGCGGCCGUAACAAUAACGGUCCUAAGGUAGCGAAAUUCCUUGUCGGGUAAGUUCCGACCCGCACGAAAGGCGUAAUGAUUUGAGCACUGUCUCGACAAUGCAUCCGGUGAAAUUGAAGUACCAGUGAAGAUGCUGGUUACCCGCGCCAGGACGGAAAGACCCCAUGGAGCUUUACUCCGGUUUGAUACUGGGAUUCGGUACUGCAUGUACAGGAUAGGUGGGAGACGAAGAAGGAUGGACGCCAGUCUGUCCGGAGUCGCUGUUGGGAUACCACCCCUGUAGUACUGGGUUUCUAACCAGUUGCCAUGAACUGGCAAUGGGACAAUGUCAGGCGGGGAGUUUGACUGGGGCGGUCGCCUCCGAAAGGGUAUCGGAGGCGCUCAAAGGUUCCCUCAGAAUGGUUGGAAACCAUUUGAAGAGUGCAAAGGCAGAAGGGAGCUUGACUGCGACACCGACGGGUGGAGCAGGUACGAAAGUAGGACUUAGUGAUCCGGUGGUAUAAAGUGGGAUUGCCAUCGCUCAACGGAUAGAAGCUACCCUGGGAUAACAGGCUUAUCACUCCCAAGAGUUCACAUCGACGGAGUGGUUUGGCACCUCGAUGUCGGCUCAUCGCAUCCUGGGGCUGUAGCAGGUCCCAAGGGUUGGGCUGUUCGCCCAUUAAAGCGGUACGCGAGCUGGGUUCAGAACGUCGUGAGACAGUUCGGUCCCUAUCCGGCGCGGGCGGAGGAUAUUUGAGAGGAGCUGUCCUUAGUACGAGAGGACCGGGAUGGACGGACCACUGGUGUAUCUGUUGUCGACCAACGGCAUGGCAGAGUAGCCAAGUCUGGAAGGGAUAAACGCUGAAGGCAUCUAAGCGUGAAGCCCCCCUCAAGAUGAGAUAUCCCUCCUUCGGGAGUAAGACCCCUUGAAGACUACAAGGUAGAUAGGGCAGAGGUGGAAGCAUGGCAACAUGUGGAGCUGACUGUUACUAAUAGGUCGAGGGCUUAAUU
RNAcentral lists this ribosomal RNA (1356 nucleotides) under metagenome. RNAcentral's name for it is "bacterial LSU rRNA". It matches the Rfam family "Bacterial large subunit ribosomal RNA", at positions 1547 to 2925 of the family's 2925-position model. The record is from RNAcentral.